Molecule: ribosomal RNA, 433 nt
Filed under: uncultured bacterium
Lineage: Bacteria
Description: partial 16S ribosomal RNA
Rfam family: Bacterial small subunit ribosomal RNA
Source: RNAcentral
AACGAACGCUGGCGGCAUGCCUAACACAUGCAAGUCGAACGAGACCUUCGGGUCUAGUGGCGCACGGGUGCGUAACGCGUGGGAACCUGCCCUUAGGUUCGGAAUAACUCCCCGAAAGGGGUGCUAAUACCGGAUAAUGUCUUCGGACCAAAGAUUUAUCGCCUUUGGAUGGGCCCGCGUUGGAUUAGCUAGUUGGUAGGGUAAAAGCCUACCAAGGCGACGAUCCAUAGCUGGUCUGAGAGGAUGAUCAGCCACACUGGGACUGAGACACGGCCCAGACUCCUACGGAAGGCAGCAGUGGGGAAUAUUGGAAAAUGGGCGAAAGCCUGAUCCAGCAAUGCCGCGUGAGUGAUGAAGGCCUUAGGGUUGUAAAGCUCUUUUAUCCGGGAUGAUAAUGACAGUACCGGGAGAAUAAGCACCGGCUAACUCCGUG